This 750-nucleotide ribosomal RNA is filed under the name bacterium. Its description in RNAcentral is "bacterial SSU rRNA". It matches the Rfam family "Bacterial small subunit ribosomal RNA", at positions 48 to 778 of the family's 1533-position model. The record is from RNAcentral.
CCUAUACAUGCAAGUCGAGCGAAUGGAUUAAGAGCUUGCUCUUAUGAAGUUAGCGGCGGACGGGUGAGUAACACGUGGGUAACCUACCCAUAAGACUGGGAUAACUCCGGGAAACCGGGGCUAAUACCGGAUAAUAUUUUGAACUGCAUAGUUCGAAAUUGAAAGGCGGCUUCGGCUGUCACUUAUGGAUGGACCCGCGUCGCAUUAGCUAGUUGGUGAGGUAACGGCUCACCAAGGCGACGAUGCGUAGCCGACCUGAGAGGGUGAUCGGCCACACUGGGACUGAGACACGGCCCAGACUCCUACGGGAGGCAGCAGUAGGGAAUCUUCCGCAAUGGACGAAAGUCUGACGGAGCAACGCCGCGUGAGUGAUGAAGGCUUUCGGGUCGUAAAACUCUGUUGUUAGGGAAGAACAAGUGCUAGUUGAAUAAGCUGGCACCUUGACGGUACCUAACCAGAAAGCCACGGCUAACUACGUGCCAGCAGCCGCGGUAAUACGUAGGUGGCAAGCGUUAUCCGGAAUUAUUGGGCGUAAAGCGCGCGCAGGUGGUUUCUUAAGUCUGAUGUGAAAGCCCACGGCUCAACCGUGGAGGGUCAUUGGAAACUGGGAGACUUGAGUGCAGAAGAGGAAAGUGGAAUUCCAUGUGUAGCGGUGAAAUGCGUAGAGAUAUGGAGGAACACCAGUGGCGAAGGCGACUUUCUGGUCUGUAACUGACACUGAGGCGCGAAAGCGUGGGGAGCAAACAGGAU